Molecule: microRNA precursor, 83 nt
Filed under: Bombyx mori (domestic silkworm)
Lineage: Eukaryota; Metazoa; Arthropoda; Insecta; Lepidoptera; Bombycidae
Description: mir-2807 microRNA precursor family
Rfam family: mir-2807 microRNA precursor family
Source: Rfam by way of RNAcentral
AAAACUCAAAUUUGUAUGGAGUUGAACUUGUGCCUACGUUUGCCGCUAGGGGCGCUGUUUCAACUGCAUGCAUAUUUGAGUUA